RNAcentral lists this ribosomal RNA (253 nucleotides) under uncultured bacterium. RNAcentral describes it as "partial 16S ribosomal RNA". It matches the Rfam family "Bacterial small subunit ribosomal RNA", at positions 524 to 776 of the family's 1533-position model. The record is from RNAcentral.
UACGAAGGGGGCUAGCGUUGUUCGGAAUCACUGGGCGUAAAGCGCACGUUGGCGGAUCUUUAAGUCAGGGGUGAAAUCCCGAGGCUCAACCUCGGAACUGCCUUUGAUACUGGGGAUCUCGAGUCCGGGAGAGGUGAGUGGAACUGCGAGUGUAGAGGUGAAAUUCGUAGAUAUUCGCAAGAACACCAGUGGCGAAGGCGGCUCACUGGCCCGGAACUGACGCUGAGGUGCGAAAGCGUGGGGAGCAAACAGG